AGAGUUUGAUCAUGGCUCAGAAUCAACGCUGGCGGCGCGCUUAACACAUGCAAGUCGCACGAGAAAGGGAGCAAUCCCAAGUAAAGUGGCGUACGGGUGAGUAACACGUGGAUCAUCUACCUCUUGGUGGGGAAUACCCCCGGGAAACUGGGGACAAUACCGCAUAAGCCUGUGAAGGGAAAGCAGCAAUGCGCCGAGAG
This 200-nucleotide ribosomal RNA is filed under the name uncultured bacterium. RNAcentral describes it as "partial 16S ribosomal RNA". It matches the Rfam family "Bacterial small subunit ribosomal RNA", at positions 8 to 224 of the family's 1533-position model. The record is from RNAcentral.